Cricetulus griseus (Chinese hamster) is the source of this 103-nucleotide ribosomal RNA. NCBI's taxonomy places the organism in Eukaryota, Metazoa, Chordata, Mammalia, Rodentia, Cricetidae. The record is from Ensembl.
AUCUGUGCCCAUACCACCCUGAGCAUGCCUGAUUUCAUAAACUAAGUAGGGUUGGGCCCAGUUAAGAUUGGGAUAGGAAGAGGAGAAGUGGAAGGCAUCUCUU